RNAcentral lists this long non-coding RNA (838 nucleotides) under Sus scrofa (pig). RNAcentral describes it as "lncRNA (ENSSSCG00025016154.1, ENSSSCG00065028341.1)". The record is from RNAcentral. Lineage: Eukaryota; Metazoa; Chordata; Mammalia; Artiodactyla; Suidae.
AUUUUGGGAUGGCAUUUUCUGAUCCCUUCCACUCUCUCAUAUGGUCUAGGUCACACUGUUUUACUAGUCAGCUUAUCAGUUUUCUCCCCUGUUCACUCAGAGCUCCUCUAGGACCAGCGCUGUGAAUUAUUUACUUUUGUACCCAAAUGCUGACACAUGGGUCCCACACCCACAGAUGCUGAUGUAAUUGAUCUGGGCUGCUGCCUGGGCGCUGGAAUAUUUAAAAGCUCCCCAGUGAUUCUAGUCUGCAAGAAGGGUUGAGAACAGCUGCCUCUGACAAUAUUUCAGAUCCAAGCAUUUUCCCAACAUUCUCACAAGCUCCCAAGGGAUUUUGAGAAGUGGAUGUCAGAGAUGGAGGGGAGAUGCUGAAACCAAACUCUGGCUUUGGUUUUGCUGUCAAGUCAGAGUAUAUGUGGGGGACAAGAGUUGUGUUGCUGUGGGAAGGAAGCAGCGUGUUGGAAGAGGGCCUUAACGCAGCCGCCUUUCCCAAGAGUUCGGGGAGUCAUUCUGAUGAGCCAUCAGCAGGAACUGAGCUGAUGGAGGAUGGGAGAACCCUGGUAACCGUCAGGCACCACACUCGCGGCUUGGCCUGUAGGAGAUGCAGCACUUCCCUCUACUGGAAGGAGGACCUAACGACAAGGGGUCUUCGACGGGCCCCCCAGAUUGCGCAGCCACAGUACUUCAGAAGGUACUUGAUAUCAAUAUGUGGGCUCUGGAGAGUUAAUAAAAGACUAUAUCAGGCUGCAUUUGCUUUCAAGGACAGAGACCCUGGCAUAUCCCUUUAGUACCUAGCAUGUGGUGUAUAAUAAAUGCUCAAUAAAUGUAUGUUGUAAAGGCA